Frieseomelitta varia is the source of this 4419-nucleotide RNA transcript. It is a transcript of the gene named cytosol aminopeptidase-like, with no coding region annotated. The record is from RefSeq and is a predicted model, not a curated record. NCBI's taxonomy places the organism in Eukaryota, Metazoa, Arthropoda, Insecta, Hymenoptera, Apidae. The transcript is spliced from 4 exons.
CUUAUCUUGCAUCUCGACCAUGAAGAAAGGAUUGGUGCUUGGUCUGUACGAAACAGAAGAUGAAAGCAACCUUUUACUGACUCCCACGGCGGCUAAAUAUGAUGAAUUAGUCAAAGGAAAAUUGCAAAAACAUAUUUUGUUGAGAGACUAGACUGAGAGACGGUAUUGUACGCAUGAUAUGAAGCAAAACUCGCUGCACAGAAGGAGUUACCAGAUACAUAUUUUGUUAUAUAAAAAAAAAUUUUAACAGCACAUUAUUUGUAAAGCAAUUAUUUCUACGCAUCAGUUAUUAGUCAAAAUCGUUUAUCAAAAAGGCUCAAACAAAACUUUAAAAAAUAUGAGAUUUAAAAAAGCAGAUUGAAAUUACCAGAUGUAUCUUAAAAUAAUUAAAUGUAUUUUAAGAAAUAUUAUUCAAUUAAGGAAAAAGAUGUCAGCUAUCAAUGAUAGUAAUUUGGGAAAUGAUAAUCCUGGAAGCAGUGGAAGUGUAGGUGAAUGUAGUGAUAGAAUGAGUAAACAAAAUCAUUCUGCAAAUGUUCUCCAUAGGAUUAGUGGUACCCUUGAAGACAAGAAUAAUGAUUAUCUGUGUCCUAUUUGUUUUGAAAUAAUUGAUGAAGCUCAUAUCACACGUUGCGGUCAUACAUUUUGUUAUCGUUGUAUAGUAAAAUCGUUGGAAGCUAAUGGUCGUUGUCCAAAAUGUAGUUACAUGUUAACUCAACAGGAUAUUUUUCCAAACUUUCUGUUACAUGAAUUGAUAUCAAAAUAUAAAACUAGAAUUAAGGGUCUUACUGAAUUAGGAUCUUCUUAUGCAGCUGAUGGUAGACACAAAACAGGUAUAGAUUUACCUGUACCACCACAUGAUGGAUUAAGAGAUAUUAUAGCUGCAGAAAGUGCUAAUCUAACAUUACCUGAUGUGAAUGUAAUGCUGGAGGUAUUAACACAAAGGAAACAUUUACUAGAAGCAGAAACAUGUGCUGCGCAAAACAAAUUGCUGCACGAGUUUUUAAAGCAUUUGCUACAGCAGAAGGAGGAGCAAAAGAAUCAGUUACAAAAGGAGAUAGCAUUGAUUAAAAAAGAUAUGGAAGAAGUUGAAAAUAUUUUAAAAGAUGUACAAAAUAAAUGUCCUAAAGUAGAAGAUUUGAAAAAAUCCAGUGAAAAUGAUACUGCGCAAGUAUCAGCUAUAAGAAAAGAAAUGAUUGGUCUUAUAGACAUAAUUGAUUCGAACAUGGUAAAACCAAAUGAGAAAGCAAAUGUUGGAACUGACACUUUUAUUAAUCCAACAGGCAGUAAAAAACAAAAUGAUUAUGCAGUAGGAUCUACUUUAGCUGUACGUAGGAAGAGGAUGCAUGCACAUUUUGAUGAUUUUGUUCAAUGCUAUUUUGACUCCCGUGCUAAGGAACUACUGCUUGGGCAUAAAUCUCAAAGUCAGAGUGAUUCGUGGCAAGGCACUAGUUCAGGACUCGAUGUUUUUAGAGAAAAUCUUGUAAAAUUCUCGAGAUACAAAGCGUUACGUCCAUUAGCGACUUUAAAUUAUUCGUCAGAUAUUUUUAAUAAUUCCACUAUUGUUUCAAGCAUUGAAUUCGAUAAAGAUAACGAAUUCUUUGCGAUAGCUGGAGUUACAAAACGUAUAAAAGUAUUCGAUUAUAGUGCUGUAAUAAGGGACACAGUAGAUAUACAUUAUCCCUGUGUGGAAAUGGUAUCUAGCUCCAAAAUAUCAUGCGUUUCGUGGAAUUCUUUUCAUAAAGGGAUGCUAGCAUCAUCUGAUUAUGAAGGAAUAGUAACAGUAUGGGAUGCUGCAACUUGUCAAAGAACUAAAACAUUUCAGGAACAUGAGAAGAGAUGUUGGUCAGUUGAUUUCAAUGAUGUAGAUACAAAACUUAUAGCAUCAGGCUCAGAUGAUGCUAGAGUUAAAUUAUGGUCUUUAAACAAUGAUCAUUCCGUGGCUUCUUUAGAAGCAAAAGCUAAUGUAUGUUGUGUAAAAUUUAACCCACGUAGUUCAUGUCACUUGGCAUUUGGAUCUGCAGAUCACUGUGUCCAUUAUUAUGAUUUACGUAAUAUGAAGGAAGCACUCUGCAUUUUUAAAGGGCAUCGUAAGGCUGUUUCAUAUGUUAAAUUUAUUAAUAAAGAAGAAAUAGUAUCUGCAAGCACGGAUUCACAAUUGAAGAUGUGGAAUAUUAAUAAUCCACAUUGUUUGCGUUCAUUUGUCGGACAUGUAAACGAAAAGAAUUUUAUAGGUCUUACUACUGAUGGUGAUUAUGUAGCAUGUGGGUCAGAAAAUAAUGCACUUUAUGUAUAUUACAAAGGACUCUCGAAACAAUUGUUCUCAUAUAAAUUUGAUGCUGUUCGAAGUAUAUUAGAAAUACAAGAACGAAGAGAAGAAGAUCUGAAUGAAUUUGUGUCUGCAGUUUGUUGGAAACAAAUGUCAAAUGUUGUAGUAGCCGCAAAUUCUCAAGGGACUAUUAAAAUAUUAGAACUAGUUUAAAAUUAGUUAUGAGUUGCUAUAAUAUAGCAAAUAUUGAUAUGUAUAUAUUUUGAAAUUUAUUCAAUUAAGUGCUCAAGCACAAAUAACAACGAGAAGUGAAAAUUUAUUCUAAAUGUUAUAGUACUUUGUUGUGAAUAAAAUUGAGGAAUUUUAAGGGUUUUCAAAUAUAUUGAAAUCUAAAUUUUUGGAGACUGACUUAUUUGAGAAAGUAAUACUCUGAAUAUUAAGCAGCACAAAUACUUUUCUCUCAUUAUAUUUUUAUUAAAUAUAUGGGUAUUGUUACUUACACUAUAUUUGUUUAAUUGUUUUGCAAUUUAGAUAUACUUUAACAAUAGACUGAAUUUUAAUAAUAAACAAUUCAUAUUAGUAACACAUGACUAUAUUAGUAAUAAAGAUGUAAAAUCUAAUAAUUUUUUUCAUAAAAUAUGGCCUUCCAAAACAUUACAUAAUUUAAUUAUGUUUCAUAUAUCCUAAAAUCAAUGUAUUUGCACAGUGAUUAUUAGCACAAUUCAAGUAUAAUAAAAUAUUUUUAUUAGGUGAAUUUCAUUAUGAUUAUUAUAUUAUUAUUAUUAUUAUCCGUAUUUUUGUAUUUUUUGUUUUUGGCCACAAUCUUAUGUAGUAAUAGUAUUUGUUUAUAAUUAAAUCAUAUAAGUUAUCUAAUGUUUAAUAUAAAUUUUCUUAGCUCAAUAAAUAGAAUUUGUGAAUGCUAAAUAAAACAUAAAAUUUCAUCAUUCUAAACAGCUUUCAACGUGGAAAAUAUUUUUGUGACUUGUAAUAUGUAAAAAGGGAAAAUAUUUUAAAACCACAUAUUUGAAAUUGUUAAAUAAGAAUGUAAUUUUAAUCAUAUAAGAUAUGAUCCUUAUAAUAAAUCUUGCCAAAGUAGCCUAAUAGAUUAAAUUCAAAAUAGUAGAAAUGUAUAAGUUGAUACCAUAAACAGUGUUGAUACUAUCUGUUCAAUUCAAUUUGUGCCAAGAACAUCACAUCAGAUUGUGUAUAAGAAUUAGUAAAUGUGCUUGAAUUGCAUUAAGUUCCUACUAUCAGUGUCACAAUCACUGUUUUUUAUAUAGUAGUGUCAGAGCUAAGGAAAGAUAGAAUUUAUAAUGAAAAAUAGUAGCUUGUUAAUAUUUUUCAAUUAUAAAGAUAUAUUUGUUAUUUUAUAAAUAAAUAAGUUAAUUAUAAUUAAUGAUAACUUUCUCAAAAAAUAAUAGUAAUUAAUUUGUUGGAUGCAAUAAUUUUAUUGAGGAAGAAAGAUGAAAAAUUUAUUUAGUAUUUUUUAUUUUAAAUGUUAUUUUACUUAGCUCUGAAUAGUAUAUUUUAAGCAGAUUUAUAAUAUGGCUCAUAUUUCUAAAUAUCAAUGUGUCAAUUUUUAAUAAUUUCUUUACAAUUUCUAUAAUAAUAUUUAAGCAAACGGUGUUACAAAUAUGAAACCCCAUGACAAAUUUGUAUACUUAAAUCUGUAUAUAUAUGUGAACAAGGAAUCGAAUUUUGGUAACAAGAAUAUAGUGUUAUAUUGUAUUGCAUUAUAUUCAAAGAUAAUUGUUUACUGUUGUAAAUUCUUAUUGAUAUCAAAAUGCAUUGAAAAUAAUUGUCAUGCCUACUAUUAAUAUAUUAUGAGUGCAAAUCAAUUGUCUCCACUAUAAAUCAGAUGAAUUAAUUGUGAAUUAAUAUAGUUAAAAUUGUGAAAAGUAAUUGUAAUUUUAAUCUAAUUAAUUAUUAGAAACAUUAAUUAGAGUAAUUUUAAAAGACUCUGUUCUAGGAUAUAUGUAAAGGAUAGUAUAUUUUUAGAUUGUAUUUUAAAAUUGCAGAUGCAACAGCAUGUGUUAAUAGAUGUCCAAAACGCCUAGAAUUAUUAGCAGGUCCAAAAAUUCCCAAAGGUCAUGCUAGAAUAUUUUGGGGUUUGGAUGAGAAGGAUUACGUGGGAAUUGCAGUUGUUGGUCUUG